RNAcentral lists this transfer RNA (80 nucleotides) under Sharpea azabuensis. It matches the Rfam family "tRNA". Rfam says of the family: Transfer RNA (tRNA) molecules are approximately 80 nucleotides in length. Their secondary structure includes four short double-helical elements and three loops (D, anti-codon, and T loops). The record is from Rfam by way of RNAcentral. Lineage: Bacteria; Bacillati; Bacillota; Erysipelotrichia; Erysipelotrichales; Coprobacillaceae.
GCUCGAGUGGUGGAAUGGUAGACACGCCAGUUUCAGGUACUGGUGGUUAUGCCGUGUGGGUUCAAAUCCCAUCUCGAGCA